CGUAUAGGGCGAUUGGAUUUAGCGGCCGAAAUUCGCCCUUGUGCCAGCCGCCGCGUAAUUCCAGCUCCAAUAGCGUAUAUUAAAGUUGUUGUGGUUAAAAAGCUCGUAGUUGAACCUUGGGCCUGGCUGGCCGGUCCGCCUCACCGCGUGCACUGGUCCGGCCGGGCCUUUCCCUCUGUGGAACCCCAUACCCUUCACUGGGCGUGGCGGGGAAACAGGACAUUUACUUUGAAAAAAUUAGAGUGCUCCAGGCAGGCCUAUGCUCGAAUACAUUAGCAUGGAAUAAUAAAAUAGGACGCGCGGUUCUAUUUUGUUGGUUUAUAGGACCGCCGUAAUGAUUAAUAGGGACAGUCGGGGGCAUCAGUAUUCAACUGUCAGAGGUGAAAUUCUUGGAUCAGUUGAAGACUAACUACUGCGAAAGCAUUUGCCAAGGAUGUUUUCAUUAAUCAGGAACGAAAGUUAGGGGAUCGAAGACGAUCAGAUACCGUCGUAGUCUUAACCAUAAACUAUGCCGACUAGGGAUCGGACGGUGUUAUUCAUGACCCGUUCGGCACCUUACGAGAAAUCAAAGUGCUUGGGCUCCAGGGGGAGUAUGGUCGCAAGGCUGAAACUUAAAGAAAUUGACGGAAGGGCACCACCAGGGGUGGAGCCUGCGGCUUAAUUUGACUCAACACGGGGAAACUCACCAGGUCCAGACACAAUAAGGAUUGACAGAUUGAGAGCUCUUUUCUUGAUUUUGUGGUGGUGGUGCAUGGCCGUUCUUAGUUGGUGGGGUGGACUUUGUCUGCUUAAUUGCGAUAACGAACGAGACCUUAAUCUUGCUAAAUAGCCCGCAUUGCUCCGGCAGUGCGCUUGACUUCUUAGGAGGGACUUUCGGCUCAAGCCGAAAGAAGUUUGAGGCAUU
Molecule: ribosomal RNA, 904 nt
Filed under: uncultured fungus
Lineage: Eukaryota; Fungi
Description: SSU rRNA
Rfam family: Eukaryotic small subunit ribosomal RNA
Source: RNAcentral